This 235-nucleotide ribosomal RNA is filed under the name uncultured bacterium. RNAcentral describes it as "partial 16S ribosomal RNA". It matches the Rfam family "Bacterial small subunit ribosomal RNA", at positions 118 to 347 of the family's 1533-position model. The record is from RNAcentral.
CGAGUAACCUGCCCUUAACUCUGGGAUAAGCCUGGGAAACUGGGUCUAAUACCGGAUAUGACUCCUCAUCGCAUGGUGGGGGGUGGAAAGCUUUAUUGUGGUUUUGGAUGGACUCGCGGCCUAUCAGCUUGUUGGUGAGGUAAUGGCUCACCAAGGCGACGACGGGUAGCCGGCCUGGAGAGGGGCGACCGGCCACACUGGGACUGAGACACGGCCCAGACUCCUACGGGAGCAG